Molecule: ribosomal RNA, 378 nt
Filed under: uncultured bacterium
Lineage: Bacteria
Description: bacterial SSU rRNA
Rfam family: Archaeal small subunit ribosomal RNA
Source: RNAcentral
GCGCGAAAACUUUACAAUGCUGGCAACAGCGAUAAGGGAACCUCGAGUGCCAGGUUACAAAUCUGGCUGUCGAGAUGCCUAAAAAGCAUUUCAUAGCAAGGGCCGGGCAAGACCGGUGCCAGCCGCCGCGGUAACACCGGCGGCUCGAGUGGUAACCGUUAUUAUUGGGUCUAAAGGGUCUGUAGCCGGCCGGAUAAGUCUCUUGAGAAAUCUGGCAGCUUAACUGUCAGGCUUUCAGGAGAUACUGUCUGGCUCGAGGCCGGGAGAGGUGAGAGGUACUUCAGGGGUAGGGGUGAAAUCUUGUAAUCCUUGAAGGACCACCAGUGGCGAAGGCGUCUCACCAGAACGGACCUGACGGCAAGGGACGAAAGCUAGGGG